UAUGGNUCAACCAUAGUGUGCUCUGGAAACUNUCUGACUUGAGUGCAGAAGGGGAGAGUGGAAUUCCAUGUGUAGCGGUGAAAUGCGUAGAUAUAUGGAGGAACACCAGUGGCGAAAGCGGCUCUCUGGUCUGUCACUGACGCUGAGGCUCGAAAGCGUGGGUAGCGAACAGGAUUAGAUACCCUGGUAGUCCACGCCGUAAACGAUGAGUGCUAGGUGUUAGGCCCUUUCCGGGGCUUAGUGCCGGAGCUAACGCAAUAAGCACUCCGCCUGGGGAGUACGACCGCAAGGUUGAAACUCAAAGGAAUUGACGGGGGCCCGCACAAGCGGUGGAGCAUGUGGUUUAAUUCGAAGCAACGCGAAGAACCUUACCAGGUCUUGACAUCCCGAUGCUAUUCUUAGAGAUAGGAAGUUACUUCGGUACAUCGGAGACAGGUGGUGCAUGGUUGUCGUCAGCUCGUGUCGUGAGAUGUUGGGUUAAGUCCCGCAACGAGCGCAACCCUUAUUGUUAGUUGCCAUCAUUAAGUUGGGCACUCUAGCGAGACUGCCGGUAAUAGACCGGAGGAAGGUGGGGAUGACGUCAAAUCAUCAUGCCCCUUAUGACCUGGGCUACACACGUGCUACAAUGGUCGGUACAACGAGUUGCGAGCCGGUGACGGCAAGCUAAUCUCUGAAAGCCGAUCUCAGUUCGGAUUGGAGGCUGCAACUCGCCUCCAUGAAGUCGGAAUCGCUAGUAAUCGCGGAUCAGCACGCCGCGGUGAAUACGUUCCCGGGCCUUGUACACACCGCCCGUCACACCACGAGAGUUUGUAACACCCGAAGUCGGUGAGGUANCCUUUUAGGG
This 844-nucleotide ribosomal RNA is filed under the name uncultured bacterium. RNAcentral describes it as "bacterial SSU rRNA". It matches the Rfam family "Bacterial small subunit ribosomal RNA", at positions 603 to 1447 of the family's 1533-position model. The record is from RNAcentral.